GGCGGGGCAGGUGGGCUAUGGUUGCUUGGAGAGUGCAUUCGGCCCGGUACUUGUGAUCGGAGGAGAGCCGGAUCGUCCUUCCUUGAACCCUCUGGGUAGGGCUGUGCUGAGGGGCUGGGCGGGGAGCACAGGCCGUGUCCGCUCGCUUGCACCUUUUCAGACUGCCGUGUCAGGCCUCGAGCCGGGCCCACCUGGAGCCCUCCCCUGCCCACCCGCCCCCAGCGCCCGAUAUCCGCCCCCAGCCCAGAAGGGCCGGGCUCGGUCAUCCCCAGUCCCGUCGCGGCCACUGACCCUUGAGAUCAGCCCUCCCCUCCCCACCUUCCCGUCCCAGGCCAGCCCAGGGCCCGAAGCCCACCCACUCGCGUCUCUAGCAGCCGCUCUUGUCCUCUGGGUACGGCUCGCGGGGGUGUUGGUUACCAUGGUGAAGCUGGCAGCCAAAUGCAUCCUGGCAGACCCAGCAGUGGGCAAGACCGCCCUGGCACAGAUCUUCCGCAGUGAUGGAGCCCAUUUCCAGAAAAGCUACACCCUGACAACAGGAAUGGAUUUGGUGGUGAAGACAGUGCCAGUUCCUGACACGGGAGACAGUGUGGAACUCUUCAUUUUUGACUCUGCUGGCAAGGAGCUGUUUUCGGAAAUGCUGGAUAAAUUGUGGGAGAGUCCCAAUGUCUUAUGUCUCGUCUAUGAUGUGACCAAUGAAGAAUCCUUCAACAACUGCAGCAAGUGGCUGGAGAAGGCUCGGUCACAGGCUCCAGGCAUCUCUCUCCCAGGUACGGGCUGCAGACACCCAUGUUUCCCAGCGGCAUCUCUGUCCUUCGGUUCAAGAGCACAAGGGCAUUGCAGAGGUAGCUGUGGGUGGAGAAGGGGCCCUGGGCUUGGACUUUGAUGGCCUAAGGCAUACACUGGCCCUGCCGCUUAGCAGCCAUGCCAACCUCGGUGAGUCACCACACACACCUCUCCCAGUCUAGGAAACGGGAAUGAGGACACGCACCUGGCAGGGCUGUGGGGAGACUCAAUAACGGGAGGGUGCUGUAAUAUCAGUUGUUAAUUCCAGAAAGCUAACCCCAGGGAAGAGUUCCUAAUUUUCUCUUGUAUAUGGGGUACAAGUAAACAUUCAAGUCCUGUUGUCACUUCUGAAUGCUUUAAAUCAGUUUAUUUUUCGUCCCUAUGUGAGAUCAACAAAUUCUCCUCAUUAUAGACCGGGGAAAGUGAUCUCCAGAGACAGGCUCAAAAAUUAGCUGCAGCUGAUGCAGCUGGGAGCUGAACUAAAUUACCUCUGAAUCCCUGACUCCGAGCCGAGUCCUUAGAUUACUAUUAAUGACCAGUUUACAGUUUGCUCCGUGUGCUCAGAAUUAUUACAAAGGCUCACAUAAAUUUGGCCCUCGCCUUCAGGCGUUUGCAGCCCUUUAAGGAGGCAAGGGAGACAGAUACACUUGAGGUCUAGAAAAAGAUCUAGCAGAAGCUGUGCAUGAAAAGCCAAGCCCACCUGUCUCUCUGUGGCCCUUGGGGCCAUCACAAGAGACCCCCGGCUUUCCCUGUGGGGGCUCACCACCUCGAGUCAGGCAGCUCUCAGAGGAUGCUUUGCACCCCUCAAAAAUAGUGCUCUCAUCUCGCCCGCUGUCCUUCCAGACUGUGACAGUGAAGUGCCAUAUUUUGGUUGUUUCUUCUGAGUAGGUGUUUUAGUUGGGAACAAGACAGACCUGGCCGGCAGACGAGCAGUGGACUCAGCUGAGGCCCGGGCAUGGGCGCUGGGCCAGGGCCUGGAAUGUUUUGAAACAUCCGUGGUGAGUAUUUCCACUUGCCUCGUUGCCAAGUCUGGAGUGGGCCUCUGCUGGCAGCGGUCUUGCACAUGACCUCACGUGCAGGGAGCUGUUAUUCCACCAUAUGCAGAGUCUCAUUUGGAACUGAUGUUUACAUUCUUACCCAAGAUCUCUUCUCAGUAUAGCAGUAGCUGCUCAGACAUAACAGGAAAGCAGAUCACCCAGCCAACCCUGGGAAAAGGUGUAUCUCAACUAGUAAGAAAUACAAGUGCUUUGUGUGCGGUGAUCAUGACCCUCGACGUUUGCAUGCAGUAUUCUGGGUUCAGAUGUUGUUGGAACAUUGUUUCAUGUGGCCCUCACAACAAGUCCUGUGAACCAGAAGUUGGCCCCACAGUUCCCAUUCCAGUUUUGAGGAGCUCAAGUGACUUGUCCAAAGUCCCAUGAUUAGCGAAGGGUGGAGCCAGGAUUAGGACUCAUGGCCUCUAAUUCCCAUCGGUGCCACCCAUCCUCACCUUGCUGCAGCCCCAGGGUGACUCCAGGCCAUAAAGUGCCUGCCAGUUAAAAGAGCAGAAGACCUCAUUACAAAAAGCAAGUGAUUUGUUGUCAGCAUCUUCAGUACACUUUUCCUGGCAAAAACUGCAAUUACUUUUGCACCAACCUAAUGUAUCAUGAUUUUAGCUGUCCAGCACUGAGGAACCUGCUUCCUGUGUUUGGGAGUUUUAAAGUCCCAUCCUCCUUGAGGCCAAGAUGCAGCCAUGUGACCCAGGCUGCACCAAUCAGACCCCUCACGUGAGACUCCACUAGGAAGGGCAUGAAGUGAUGAUCUGCCCUCUAGGAACAGGUGUGGCCCUGAACAUCCAUCUCAGAGCCAGCAGGGGCCCGAGUGUUGGUUGCCCUGCCCCUCGCCAGGGUUGCUAGCUGGGGAGAUCACCAGGCCUGGCACAGUCAUGGUCGUAACGUGGACCUCACCUUGUGGCCUUUAGACCUGAUUCUGUGGCCCUCAGAAUUGAGUCAUGGGCUGGUUAAUGUUCUGGAGGUCAUCUUCUGCUCCAGCUUGACUUUGGCUCUAGGCACUUCCGCUAUUGCAUCUAGGAACCUUGACCGGUGCUGUCCGAGCUUACAAAACGCCCCCAAAGUAGCAUGCUUCCUUAGGGAAAGUACAGCAGUAAAGGCAGGCACUCUGACCUCCCAUGGUGAGUGGCAGAACUUGCCGUGGGAACCUGGACAUGUUAUUUCACCUGUUGGUGGCUCAGGCUUGUAAAAUGAGGAUCAUAAAAUAUAUCCCUUAUCGAGUAAUAAAUAUGAGAAUCAAGUAAUAUGUCACAUAUAAAACACGGAUCACAGAGUCUGGCGUCCGGUAAACACUCAGUAGAUGUUAGCUUUCUUAAAGUAUAAAUAUUGCCCCUAGAAUCUUGUUUAUACUGUUAUUACUUACUAAAUCCUUGUAUUCAUGGCUUGUGCAGAGAUAAAUAUCACCCUUGCCUCUGCUCCAGUUAUCACAAAUGCUAAAUUAAUGAAGUCCAAAUCAGCUUGUCCUGUAUAGAGGGUUUGCCAUCUUUCCUGCAGCACCGCUUUGUGCAAAGCAGUAGGCGGUAGUGCCCUAGCAAACAGGAUUUCAGUAUUCUCCCUUCCUCCAUUCAUUUGUGAAAUUGUCCCUGCACCCCAAUAUUCCAUAUUCCCUAGAACGCUUGAUAGAACUCAGAAAUUAAAACCCACCCCAACCUCCAAAACAUGAGUCAUCAAAGGCCAGUGGGCUACGGGUUAAACUCUGUUGAGGUGUUGAAGUGGGUGGGUGUAAACUACGCUUGAAGAGGCUGCAGUAAGCACUUGCUAUUAUCUGUGCAAGUUAACUAGUCCCCCCUGAGUUGAGGCUCACAGAAGCACUACUGGCAGCUCGGUUAAGAAAGCUGUAAUUAAAAAGGAAAUAUAACCAAACGCAGCUUCAGACGCAGCCAAGGCCUGACACCAAGCUCAUCUCCUCCUCUCUUCUGCCUAAACACCGCAGUGACCAUCCUGCCGACCCAAAGGAGGUCCCUACAAACAAGUGCAAGAACAAUCCGCGCUGAUCACUGCCCUCCCAGGCAAGCGAGGAGUGGGGAAGUAACAUCUGAUGAGGGCCUACUGUGUGCUAGGUGUUUUGCACACAUUAUUUGUUUAGGCUUCAUAACAGCCCUACAAGGUAACACUCCUGUGUUGUAUAGAUGACAGACUCAGAAAGGUUGUGUAGCUUGCCCUGGUGGCAUAGUUAAACGAGGGCUAGAAACAGGACUAGGAGUCAGGCCUGUCCAGCUGGAAAACUUGGGUUUUCUAGAAGGGGUACCCUGGCCUCCUGUGGAGCCUGCUGUGGGACUCUGCAGAACACAAUUCAAGGCCAGACUGAACACUAGCCUGAACCUGCCCUGAGAAUCCCCCUAAGCCGACCUACUUCACAGCUGUCCUGACUGUGUAAGCGAGAUGAUGAUUAGUGAUCAGACGAAAGGAUUCCUGUCAUUGGUAACCCUCUCAAAGUAUUUGGAAAACAGUUCAAUUUUCAUCUAUUUCAGAAGCACGCCGUGGUGUCUAUUGAGGCUCACCUGCAUUGAAUUCCUUCCUUUUUAUGUUGUGAUCUCCCAAGAUUGCAUUGUGGAGUGUUUUCGAAUCCAUUUUGAAAUCCCCGUGCGUGCGCUAUGCAGGCCUCCGUCUUUUUCCAUUCCAUUCUUAACUCUACUUUCGACGGAAGCAGUGUUUUACCCCGACACUGGCUUGCCUAGGACCUUGUGCUCUGCACAACUAGCAGGGCCCGGCAGGAUGUACUGAAUUCUUGCUCUCGUGUCCAGCUGGAGGGUGAUGGCUUUCAAGUCCUUGGCUGUUGGGAGCUUACUAUAAAUGUUCGUCUUGGCUACAAACUCUCCACUCUUUCCUCGGCACUCUCUCAGCAUUGCCACCACUGUCUUUCCUCUUGGCCAACUGUUUUCUUUGCUUAGGCUUUCCCUUGCUAGAAAGUCCAGGUAACUUUCUCCACGGGACCUGGUUUCCUUCGCACAUCCCAGCUGGCCUCGAGGAAAGGUAGCUCUUCCCAAAUCAGAGAAUCUGGAUGCUGGCCUGGGCUCUGCACCAACCAGCUGGGCCGCUUCACCCACUGGGCCCCAAACUACUCAUCUGUGAAGCGAAGGCACCGCGCUUGAUGCCUUCUGCAACGUUCUUCAGUUUGGAAAUCCUUCUGUUUCGCUGGGGAUAUUUCACGGCCUCUUCUCAAGGUUGCACUUUUGCCAGCUGCCAGGGAUCGUCUCAAAACAGGUUCUUAGUGCAUUCAUAGCUUGAGCUGCUGUCUUGAAAGUAGUACAUUCCUUUUUCUGCCAACUUUUUUCUGAGACAGUUUUUGAAUGCACAUGUGCACCCACAGAGUGAGAGUGGCUGUUAAGAGAGAGGGCGCCAUUUCCUUUCCCCUCCAGCCUGUCCCUGUGCACCCUGGAGGGGCCCGUUUUUUCCACCGCUUAGAUAAAAUCUAGGGCAAGUUCCUGAACUUCUCUUUUCUCUCUCAGGUAACAAAAAUUCUUUUGGGCUCCUUUAGUCACAAAGAUAUUCACGAUUUCAGGUAUUAAAGUGCCCAGCCCUGGGUGAUUGUCAAAAUUCUGAACUUGAUUUAAAGCCGCACCUCCUCUCACAGUCUUUGGGAGGGAGAGACCGGAGCCAGGAGUGCAGCGUGUUUGCUGGGGUCUGUCGUGGCCCACUCCACACCUGCUGGGUGGAUCCGGCUGGUGCCCCAUGGGCGCCUCUGAGAUGCCCCUCCCCACCCACCCCAUCAGUGGCGCUGUCUCACCUGCAGGCUGCUUCUCACAGGUGGUCCCCCCUCACUCCUCCUGCAGCCCCAGUUCCUGGCUGUUCAUUCUUAUUGGGACCCGUCACCCUCCUGGAGGCGGUCCCAGCCGAGCCCCCUUAAGACAGCACCUGGCUGGCUCCACUUGGCCCCCGCUGGUUCAGGGAAGUGCUGCUGCAGCCGUCUAGUUUGACAAAGGAGGCAGCGAGGCCGUCUCAUUGGUAGCCCUCUCCUGGCUUGCCCAGCUACCACCUCACCUCGAUUCCUCCCAGGCCUGGGUCCAGCACCAGCCUAGGAAGAGGGUGCCCCAUGCUGUCUAGCUCUUCUUCGGGAUGGGGGGCUCCAGGUUGCUUGGUAUUUUGCUUUGGCCUUUGGAGCCUCAGUCAAAACUAAGCGAGGAAAGGUGUCAUUUUCACAUCUCGUCACACGUACAGUGACUGCAACUAAAAGCACAGGCUUUGUAGAAACAGACAUGGGUUCAGGCCCCAGCUCCACCAUUCACAAGGUGUGGGGCUUCCUGCAAGGUACCUUCAUCUCUGAGUUACCUGACUCCAUCUGAGUUUCCUUCUUGUAAAACUGGCAUCCAUGAAAGUGGCUACCUCGAAGGGCGUGAAGAUGAAAUGAGGUGGAAAGUAGGUAGCCCCCGAAUGAGGGAAGCAUUGAGUGAGAGCUGGCCCUCUGACCCUUCUAAAAGAACACAGCCAACUUUUAAAACUGUCUUUCCAGAAAGAGAUGGAAAACUUCGAAGCCCCUUUCCACUGCCUUGCCAAGCAGUUCCACCAGCUGUACCGGGAGAAGGUGGAGGUUUUCCGGGCCCUGGCGUGACGAGCUGGAGCAGAUCGUGCUGCACAACCGGAGAAGACAGAAUUACCUCUGCUCUUUUAAUAUAUAAUGAUGGCUUUAAAUAAAAUUAGGAGAAAAUGUC
RNAcentral lists this small RNA (6478 nucleotides) under Pan troglodytes (chimpanzee). RNAcentral describes it as "retained intron". Lineage: Eukaryota; Metazoa; Chordata; Mammalia; Primates; Hominidae. The record is from RNAcentral.